CCUUCUCUGCUCUGAAACCCUAGCGGUGGACAGAAGGACGGAUGCCACACGGCGGUUCGUUCCCGUUGCGGCCUGGCCGGGUGAACGGUGACGGGGACGGCCGACUUGUUACACUUUUGUCCCUUAACACAGGAAGGAGGGCGAUGCCCGGGCCACGGACGGGAGCCAGAGGAGCCGCUCGCCGGCAUCCCGAACCAGGGGGAGAGCUCAGCAGGGUACAAGCAGGCGAGACGUGGGCAGGCUGCUCGGGGAGAGGCUCACCGAUUUCAAGGUAAAAAAAAAAAAAAAAGUAAGACACUAUGCAUUUA
This 308-nucleotide long non-coding RNA is filed under the name Neogale vison (American mink). RNAcentral's name for it is "Neovison vison (American mink) lncRNA (ENSNVIG00000010698.1)". The record is from RNAcentral. Lineage: Eukaryota; Metazoa; Chordata; Mammalia; Carnivora; Mustelidae.